Molecule: long non-coding RNA, 1633 nt
Organism: Thalassophryne amazonica
Lineage: Eukaryota; Metazoa; Chordata; Actinopteri; Batrachoidiformes; Batrachoididae
Exons: 2
Source: RefSeq, a predicted model, not a curated record
UCCUGCUGGCUGUUUUAUGGCGUCUUCUGGGACAGAAAAGUUUGACAAAGUCCCCCUUUCCACUUUGGGAUAUUCUCCUGUUUUUGCAGCUGAGUGUGAAGCGGCUGAGAUGAGGAUCAUCACCUUUAAAUCUGAGGCCAUUGUUCUCAGCAGUAACUGAUGGAUUGCCUACUCUGGGUUGGGAAUGUGGUCUUGGCCUAAGUGAAGGAGUUCAAGUACCUCGGGGUAUUAUUUACAAGUGAGGGGACAAUGGAGCGUGAGAAUGGCUGGAGAAUCAGCGCAGCAGAGGCAGUACUGCAUUCACUCUACCGUACUGUUAUUACGGAAAGGGAGCUGAGACAAAAGGCGAAGUUCUCGAUGUACUGGUCAAUCCUUGUUACUACUCUCACCUAUGGUCAUGAGAGUUGGAACAUGACCGAAAUAACUAUAUCGCGGGUACAAGCGGCUGAAAUGGGCUUCCUUAGGAAGGUGGCUGGUGUCUCCCUUAGAGAUAGGGUGAGAAGCUUGGUCAUCCGUGGGGAGCUCGGAGUAGAGCUGCUGCUCCUUCGCAUUGAAAGGAGCCAGCUGAAGUGGUUCGGGCAUCUUGUAAGGAUGCCCCCUGGAUGUCUCCCUAGGGAGGUGUUCCAGGCACAUCCAUCUGGGAGGAGACUGAGUAAGACCCACGACUAGGUGGACAGAUUAUAUCUCCACACUGACCUGGAAACACCUCGGUAUCCCCCAGUCAGAGGUGGACAGGGUAGCCCGGGAAAGGGAAGUAUGGGGUCUCCUGCUAGAGCUGUUGCCCCCGCGACCCGAUCCCAGAUAGGCGGUUGAAGAUUAGUGAUGAGUAUAGUCUGUGUGAUUCUUUGUUCUCCUACUCCUCCAAGGUCCUUUGGCCAAUUUCCACCAAACGUACAAAGUGGAUGAAGGCUAACCCAGAAUGGCCUUCAAAGGUUCUGUUUCGCUCAGGUCAGUGUUCAAAUCCCCCCCAACACACACACUCAAAUUUAUAAUGUGGCAAAUAUAUGUAGGUGAGUAUCAUACCUGCCCAUGCAAGGUCAGCCAAAGCUCAGAGGUCAGCCUACCCACCACCAUGGACAUACACGCAAGAUAAAGGCUUCCAGCAUCAAGAAAAGAACCCACCCACCCAGCAAGGAUAAUGUUCGUUCCUCUUCUUUCAGGAAGGAGGCUUUGGAGCAUCAGGUACAGAGCCAUCAGAUUGAGGAACAGCUUCUUCCCAGAGACUGUGAGGCUGUUGAGUUCUGGUAGAGCACCAGGUGCACAUCUGUUAAUACUUUUUACACAAUAAUUCUGUCAUGCUGCUCAUUCCUGCUGUAGUGCUUUUUAAUCUUUAUCUCAUUUAUAUUUCCCCAAGUCUGUUUUUUUUUAUCGAUUAUUAAACCCCAAGAUAUUUUUGAAAUACAAUUUCAUAUCAUAUUAUGUGAAAACAUACCAGUAUAUGGUAUGACAAAGAAUCCUUGAAUCCUCAAUUAUUCAUGUAAAUGUCAAGCUCAUUGGGUCAAAGGCCAAAAGUGUAAAAAUAAAAGUUUUUAUUCUGAUUUGCACCAGACACGGUGUACUUAUGUAGUUGGAUACCUGAGAUGCCCAGGUGAGCUCAACCAGAAAUCAAUAAUUCAGGCGAACUUUAAAUUCA